RNAcentral lists this ribosomal RNA (110 nucleotides) under Pogona vitticeps (central bearded dragon). The record is from RNAcentral. Lineage: Eukaryota; Metazoa; Chordata; Lepidosauria; Squamata; Agamidae.
CCUGGUGUACAGUGUGGCACCUUAUCGUGCUAAUUUUGGAAGCUAAGCAGUGUCACGCCUGGUGUGUACGUGGAUGGAAGACCAGUAAGGUAUAUAAGGUAGGACUAGGA